RNAcentral lists this ribosomal RNA (478 nucleotides) under uncultured bacterium. Its description in RNAcentral is "partial 16S ribosomal RNA". It matches the Rfam family "Bacterial small subunit ribosomal RNA", at positions 28 to 523 of the family's 1533-position model. The record is from RNAcentral.
GGCGAACGCUGGCGGCGUGCUUAACACAUGCAAGUCGAACGGUAAGGCCCUUCGGGGUACACGAGUGGCGAACGGGUGAGUAACACGUGGGUGAUCUGCCCUGCACUUCGGGAUAAGCCCGGGAAACUGGGUCUAAUACCGGAUAGGACUCCUGCCUGCAUGGGCGGGGGUGGACAGCUUUUGUGGUGUGGGAUGGGCCCGCGGCCUAUCAGCUUGGUGGUGGGGGGAUGGCCUACCAAGGCGACGACGGGUAGCCGGCCUGAGAGGGUGACCGGCCACACUGGGACUGAGAUACGGCCCAGACUCCUACGGGAGGCAGCAGUGGGGAAUAUUGCACAAUGGGCGCAAGCCUGAUGCAGCGACGCCGCGUGAGGGAUGACGGCCUUCGGGUUGUAAACCUCUUUCAGCACAGACGAAGCGCAAGUGACGGUAUGUGCAGAAGAAGGACCGGCCAACUACGUGCCAGCAGCCGCGGUAA